CGUCAACUAGAUAGGACACACGGUGAGU
Molecule: non-coding RNA, 28 nt
Filed under: Homo sapiens (human)
Lineage: Eukaryota; Metazoa; Chordata; Mammalia; Primates; Hominidae
Source: RNAcentral